RNAcentral lists this long non-coding RNA (644 nucleotides) under Mytilus galloprovincialis (Mediterranean mussel). Lineage: Eukaryota; Metazoa; Mollusca; Bivalvia; Mytilida; Mytilidae. The record is from RNAcentral.
AAAAGAAAUGGAACUCGAGGUCGGUUCCAUGCAUAAAAAUGUCUUAAAUUAAGGCUAAAACUUUUUAUAUUUAUUAAGUUAAAAGAUAGAGAAGUUUGAUCAUUUAGCAAAAAGUAAAUGAAUGAUUGCUGUUUGCUUCAUGUCCCGCAGGAAAUAUUUCAUGUAUAUUCCAAACAAAAACCACAGCAGGUAUAUUAAAGGCUGUUCAAAGUAGGCCGCAGGAAUUCAAAAUAGGUUCUUCAAUUAGUCACGGUCGAUGGAGGGAAGAUGGAAUAAACGGAAGGCUUUUUAAUAGCGAAAUAGCACAAUGCGGGAUUGUUGUCUCAGAAUUAUGUUUGACUAAAAUCUAAUGUUGAGAGUACGAUACCGGGUCUCUUUAGCAUGUGAUAAGACGAGGCGUCGUCCCGAUUUCGUCUGGAUGUGGUUGCGUAUUUAAACAUCCCGCACAAGUAUUCGGGUGCCCCGUUACAAAAAAAAAUCUUACUAAAAAUGACAGAUCGGAAUUCACGGUAGACUUGUUGGUGACCAUACAUAUAUACACCAACCAGCAACCAGGUACACCAACGUAUUAAUGGACAUACAAAAGAUAUAAGACGAAGCAUAAAAAAAAAUAGCAAAUCAAAAUAAUUUCCCCGAUAAUCCUA